UACGGAAGGCAGCAGGUGGGGAAUAUUGCACAAUGGGCGAAAGCCUGAUGCAGCUAUGCCGCGUGUAUGAAGAAGGCCUUAGGGUUGUAAAGUACUUUCAUCGGGGAGGAAAAAACAAAACUAAUAAUUUUAUUUCUUGACGUUACCCGAAAAAGAAGCACCGGCUAACUCCGUGCCAGCAGCCGCGGUAAUACGGAGGGUGCUAGCGUUAAUCAGAAUUACUGGGCGUAAAGAGCACGUAGGGUGGUUUUUUUAAAGUCAGAUGUGAAAUCCCUGGGCUUAACCUGGAAACUGCAUUUUGAAACUGAAAUACUAGAGUAUCGUAGAGGGAGGUAGAAUUCUAGGUGUAGCGGUGAAAUGCGUAGAUAUCUGGAGGAAAUCCUGUGGCGAAAGCGGCCUCCUAAACGAAUACUGACACUGAGUGCGAAAGCGUGGGGAGCAAACAGGGAUUAGGAUACC
Molecule: ribosomal RNA, 459 nt
Filed under: uncultured bacterium
Lineage: Bacteria
Description: bacterial SSU rRNA
Rfam family: Bacterial small subunit ribosomal RNA
Source: RNAcentral